Molecule: ribosomal RNA, 207 nt
Filed under: uncultured bacterium
Lineage: Bacteria
Description: partial 16S ribosomal RNA
Rfam family: Bacterial small subunit ribosomal RNA
Source: RNAcentral
CGGAUUGUAGUCUGCAACCCGACUACAUGAAGCUGGAAUCGCUAGUAAUCGCAGGUCAGCAUACUGCGGUGAAUACGCUCCCGGGUCUUGUACACACCGCCCGUCACACCAUGGGAGCCGGAAAUGCCCGAAGCCAGUGACCCAACCUUAGGGAGGGAGCUGUCGAAGGUGGAGCCGGUAACUGGGGUGAAGUCGUAACAAGGUAUC